Non-coding RNA from Pelobates cultripes (western spadefoot toad), 204 nucleotides. Lineage: Eukaryota; Metazoa; Chordata; Amphibia; Anura; Pelobatidae. The record is from the annotation of a GenBank genome assembly.
GUUGUCGUUCGUAUGCCGACCACGAGUCGGUGGCCAUCUUGGACGUACGAAUGCCCAGCGGUGUUCGCUGACCUCCCUUCUUCUGUUAAUCCAGCAUUCGAACGCCGUCUCGUUUGGUACUUUUUCGGCACGAAUGGACUUACCCCAGAUAGCUAUGCCAUGGAGCCCAUUCGUAUAAUGAAAGACUAUGUGAAAGACUUUGGC